Molecule: long non-coding RNA, 599 nt
Filed under: Rattus norvegicus (Norway rat)
Lineage: Eukaryota; Metazoa; Chordata; Mammalia; Rodentia; Muridae
Description: long non-coding RNA NONRATT022432
Source: RNAcentral
CCCCUCUGGGUAUCAGGACUGCUCAUAACUGAUGGAGAGCUGCAAGCCGGCCAGCUGAAUCCAUUUGGACAGGCUCUGCUCCUUCGUACAAUUCCUGGUUUCACUACUCUCUUCUGCCUGAAAAUAAGCAGGGAGCCCAUAGGCUUCUUGCAAGAAUAGAGUAUGAACGGAGAUGGGCUUGCUGUGGAUUAGCAAAUACCGCCCAUUUGGAAGGCUUUGUCUUUUCUAAGUUUUGGUUCUUUAACCACCGGAGCUGAGAGCUGCGGAGGUUUCCUGAUCCUCUGGAGACCGCUCUUACAGAACUGAAUUCUUUCAAAGGGAUUUGUGGAUUGUGGCAAGAAGAGCUUCCAAAAUGCCUGAGGCAAACUAUUUGUUAUCUCUAUCUUGGGGUUAUAUCAAGUUCAAAAGGAUGCUGAACCGGGAGCUGACACACCUCUCAGAGAUGAGCAGAUCAGGGAACCAAGUGUCUGAAUACAUUUCGAACACGUUCUUAGGUAAGAUGUUUAAAAACAAGGGAAAACUCACUGAGCUUUUGCAGGGUAAAUUUUUACAGUCUACCAAGGGCAUCCCUGUGAAUUUGAAGUGAGGUUAAGCACAGG